GCAAGUCGGACGGUAACAUAGAGUGCUUGCACUCUGAUGACGAGUGGCGCACGGGUGCGUAACGCGUAUAGAACCUACCCUGUACAGGGGGAUAGCCCAUGGAAGCGUGGAUUAAUACCCCGUAGAUAUCGUAAGUGGCAUCACUUAUGGUUUAAAGUCUUCGGGCGGUACGGGAUGGCUAUGCGUCUUAUUAGUUAGUAGGUGAGGUAACGGCUCACCUAGGCAGCGAUAAGUAGGGGCCCUGAGAGGGGGAUCCCCCACACUGGUACUGAGACACGGACCAGACUCCUACGGGAGGCAGCAGUGAGGAAUAUUGGACAAUGGGCGGAAGCCUGAUCCAGCCAUGCCGCGUGCAGGAAGACGGCCCUAUGGGUUGUAAACUGCUUUUAUACGGGAAGAAUAAUCGCCACGUGUGGUGAGAUGACGGUACCGUAAGAAUAAGGACCGGCUAACUCCGUGCCAGCAGCCGCGGUAAUACGGAGGGUCCGAGCGUUAUCCGGAAUUAUUGGGUUUAAAGGGUCCGCAGGCGGGCAAUUAAGUCAGGGGUGAAAUGCUGUGGCUCAACCAUAGCACUGCCCUUGAUACUGGUUGUCUUGAGUUGUGGUGAAGUGGCCGGAAUAUGUAGUGUAGCGGUGAAAUGCAUAGAUAUUACAUAGAACACCGAUCGCGAAGGCAGGUCACUAACCACUAACUGACGCUGAUGGACGAAAGCGUGGGGAGCGAACGGGAUUAGAUACCCCGGUAGUCCACGCUGUAAACGAUGGAUACUAGCUGUCGGGAUUUCGGUCUCGGUGGCUAAGCGAAAGUGAUAAGUAUCCCACCUGGGGAGUACGUUCGCAAGAAUGAAACUCAAAGGAAUUGACGGGGGGCCCGCACAAGCGG
RNAcentral lists this ribosomal RNA (882 nucleotides) under uncultured bacterium. RNAcentral describes it as "bacterial SSU rRNA". It matches the Rfam family "Bacterial small subunit ribosomal RNA", at positions 57 to 932 of the family's 1533-position model. The record is from RNAcentral.